AUCAAGUUUGCCCUUACAAAUGUAAAUAAUGGCCCUGGAAACAUUGCCUCCUAAUGGAAAAGUUCAUUUCUGACCCUGGUUGAGAACCACUGAUCUAGAGUAAUGGUAGUCUAUAGUUGUGAAGCUGUGUCUUUCAUAAUGUUGUGUCUGAAACUGUAGGAAAAUCGAAAAAUAUCUACAUGACUUGGAAGGGGAAACUUUCCAGAGUGACACUAAUGAUAAUGAUGUUUCGCACUCACCAAAGGGGACUGAAGAAACCACCCCCACAGAUACAGGCCCCCAGGACAAUAUACUGUUACAACAAAAAACCACAAAAGAGUCACCAUCCAUAGAAAAACAGG
Long non-coding RNA from Onychostoma macrolepis, 341 nucleotides. RefSeq lists it as uncharacterized. The transcript has 3 exons. NCBI's taxonomy places the organism in Eukaryota, Metazoa, Chordata, Actinopteri, Cypriniformes, Cyprinidae. The record is from RefSeq and is a predicted model, not a curated record.